GACAAACUGAAAAUUCCUCCUGAGGAGAUGAAAGAAAUGGAACAGAAGCUUAUUACAGACCUCCAGGAAUAUGUAGAGCCAGGAGAAUUCCCAGCUUCCCCCCAGAGAAGAAACACCAUGUCCCAGGAAGACCGAGACGAGAGUGUGGUUUUACCUCUGGGCGCGGAUACACUCACGCAUAACUUGGGCAUUCCAGUCCUGGUUGUUUGCACAGUGUGAUGCCAUUAGUGUAUUGGAGAAAGAACAUGACUACAGGGAUGAACAUUUUUAUUUCAUUCAGUCCCAUAUCCGGAAGUUUUGUUUACAGUAUGGUGCAGCACUUAUUUACACUUCAGUAAAGGAAAACAAAAAUAUAGAUUUAAUAUAUAAAUACAUUGUCCAGAAACUAUAUGGAUUUCCCUAUAAGAUUCCUGCUCUUGUUGUGGAAAAAGAUGCUGUAUUUAUUCCGGCAGGGUGGGAUAACGAUAAGAAAAUAGGAAUAUUACAUGAAAAUUUCCAGUCCUUAAAAAUAGGAGAUAAUUUUGAAGAUAUCAUAACGAAACCACCUGUCCGAAAGUUUGUGCAUGAGAAGGAGACUGUGGCGGAAGAUGACCAGGUGUUUCUUAUGAAGCUUCAGUCCCUCUUAGCAAAACAGCCACCAACUACUGCUGGAAGGCCUGUGGAUGCCUCGCCCAGAGUUCCAGGAGGCUCCCCCCGGACGCCAAGCCGGUCCGUGUCUUCCAAUGUUGCCAGCGUGUCACCCAUCCCUGCGGGGUCAAAAAAAAAAUUGAUCCAAAUAUGAAAGCUGGAGCCACAAGUGAAGGGGUCCUGGCAAAUUUUUUCAAUAGCUUGCUGAGUAAAAAGACUGGCACUCCAGGAGGCCCUGGGGGAGGGAGUCCUGGAGGUGGGGCUGGAGCUGGAAGUAGUGGCUUACCUCGGUCCUCCAAAAAGUCAGGCAAGAAGCCUGUCCUGUCAGACGUUCAUGCAGAACUGCACAGAAUUGCAUGGAAACCAGUUACUGUUUCUCCUACAACACCCACAUCCCCAACGGAAGGAGAAGCUUCAUCAAGAUACCAAAUAAAGCCAUUAAAUUUUGGGGGAUAA
This is an RNA transcript of Elephantulus edwardii (Cape elephant shrew), 1083 nucleotides long. It is a transcript of the gene named dynein, cytoplasmic 1, light intermediate chain 1 pseudogene, with no coding region annotated. NCBI's taxonomy places the organism in Eukaryota, Metazoa, Chordata, Mammalia, Macroscelidea, Macroscelididae. The transcript has a single exon. The record is from RefSeq and is a predicted model, not a curated record.